GAUGAACGCUAGCGGCAGGCCUAAUACAUGCAAGUCGAACGGUAAGGCCCUUUCGGGGGUACGACGAGUGGCGGACGGGUGCGUAACGCGUAUGCAACAUGCCUUCCAGCGGGGGAGUAUACCAGGGAAACGUUGGCGCAAUACCCCACUAGAAUUACGGGACCGCAUGGUCUUGUGAUUAAAACUACCGGUGCUGGGAGGAUUGGCAUGCGUGACAUUAGCUAGUUGGCGGGGUAACGGGCCCACCAAGGCGACGAUGUCUAGCUGGUCUGAGAGGAUGAUCAGCCACACUGGGACGUGAGACACGGCCCAGACUCCUACGGGAGGCAGCAGUAGGGAA
Molecule: ribosomal RNA, 340 nt
Filed under: uncultured bacterium
Lineage: Bacteria
Description: bacterial SSU rRNA
Rfam family: Bacterial small subunit ribosomal RNA
Source: RNAcentral